UACGGAGGGGGCAAGCGUUGUUCGGAAUUACUGGGCGUAAAGGGCGCGUAGGCGGCCUACUAAGUCGGACGUGAAAUCCCUCGGCUCAACCGAGGAACUGCGUCCGAUACUGGCGAGGCUUGAAUUCGGGAGAGGGAUGUGGAAUUCCAGGUGUAGCGGUGAAAUGCGUAGAUAUCUGGAGGAACACCGGUGGCGAAGGCGGCAUCCUGGACCGAGAUUGACGCUGAGGCGCGAAAGCUAGGGUAGCAAACGGG
RNAcentral lists this ribosomal RNA (254 nucleotides) under uncultured bacterium. Its description in RNAcentral is "partial 16S ribosomal RNA". It matches the Rfam family "Bacterial small subunit ribosomal RNA", at positions 524 to 776 of the family's 1533-position model. The record is from RNAcentral.